Molecule: non-coding RNA, 70 nt
Organism: Bacteroidetes bacterium GWF2_33_16
Lineage: Bacteria; Pseudomonadati; Bacteroidota
Source: Rfam
AAAAAGUGGAGUCCAGAUACCACCUAGAAUAAACGGGGCCGUUCUGAAAAGCCAUACGAGUAGGAAAAAU